This is a long non-coding RNA of Capsicum annuum, 1666 nucleotides long. RefSeq lists it as uncharacterized. The transcript has 8 exons. NCBI's taxonomy places the organism in Eukaryota, Viridiplantae, Streptophyta, Magnoliopsida, Solanales, Solanaceae. The record is from RefSeq and is a predicted model, not a curated record.
GGUUCUGAUCGAUCAGUACUAAUUAAUUGGUACAUAUAUAUAUGAUCAUUCUUUAUUAUCACAACUAUGCAUUUGUUAUAAUUAAAAGGUUAAUGGGUGCAAAAGAUUGGUGAUUAAUUUAGAGUUGGAAGGGAUUAAAAUCGUAAGAAAAUAUGUUGUACACUAUAGGAGGUUUGAACUGUUUAAUUUGUCCCCAUUAUUAAGGACUUUCUGAACCUUUUGAUGUCUUUUUGUGUCAUGCAUGAUGACUUGAUAAGUCCCAAACUACAUUGUGAUAACACCCUUUCAUUUAGUUGGUGAGACAAGUCGAUAACUUUUGAUCCGAGAUCCCUUUUAUUGAAAAAAAUAGUUAAAUUUGAGAAAAACUUGUUUGUUACUUGCCUAGUUUCUUCUGUCCAUUAUCAAGAAAUUAACUUUUCAAAAUACCACCUAAAUAACUAUAUAACUAUGAUCAUGGAGUCAAUAGGUUGGGUAGAAAGAGCCUGAGGUGCAGCUAGUGUCAUCAUACAUGCAUCUUGCUACCUUUGGAGAUAUACUUAUGGACAAGAGGACAUGAGCGUCAUCUUGGUGAUGUGAACAAGUAGCUGAAGAUUAAGGUUUCUCUUGAACUAUCAUCGUUUAAGACUGAAGGACAAGGACUAAACGCUCUUCCUAAUUUUCUAUGGAUUUCUAAUGCAUCAGCAGAAGCUGUAAGCAGCUCCUUUUAUGUCCACCAUUCUCAAUCAAAUCACAUGGAUUGUGACAAACCUGAUCCAGUUCUUCAAAUAGGAUAUUCAUAAUUCUUGGAACCCCAAAUGAGAUGAUUUGGGAAGGGUUCUCCGAGCUUCCUGGGGUGAAAGUCAACUUUGUAAAGCACCCGCUUCCAUCUUUGAGUGAUUCUAGUUUGUCUUGGCUUUCUGGACUCCUUUGGUGAUGAUUUAUGGUGGGGAAAUAUUUUCAUUUUUUUGCUAACCAUUUGAUUUAUUUGUAAUAGGUAUAAUAAUUUAAGAAUGAAAUUUCAAAACGUGACAUCCUUCAUGGGGUUACCAGUCCUAUCAGAGGCAGGCCUUGGCCUGUUCAAUAAGCUUCUUACUUAUGAUCCUAAGAAGAGAAUAACUGCCGAUGCUGCUUUAAACCAUGAGUGAUUUCGUGAAGUUCCUCUCCCAAGUCUAAAGAAUUCAUGCCUUCUUUCCCUGCAUAGCAUGCACAAGAUAGGCAUGUACGAAGAGUAAUGAAUAGUCCAUAUCCUUGUAAGGAGCAGCGAAGAAAGGAACUGAAGCAAGGGGUGUUAGGAACUGGUGGAUUGUUUGGCUGAUAAGUUAAUAGUGCUCGGCAACUGUUUUGAGUCUUGCUUUCUCUAAUACUCAUGGGUUGACGUGAAGCCAAGUGAUGCAGCUAGUGGAUCCAUUUUGCCCAUGGAUGCAAGGAGAUCACUUGAUGAUAAUGAUCCUAACGACAUUGUUUGAUUUCGUUGCAUUUGUCUUGGAUAUUCAAUUAUGAUGGUGUAAUAUUGUGGUUGGUGUGAAUCUUAGAAUAUUGAAGGUUUUGUGUUUAAAUUUGAUUUUGUAGUUUGAAGAUAUUAGUUAAUGUUGAAAAUUUGGAGUUUGAAGAUGUUAAUGUUGAAAAUUUAAUUUUGAAGUUUAAAGUUCAAUGUAUUUUUGAUAUGCUUUUCAAUUACAAUGUUUAA